ACUCGUUGGUGACCAGCGGAGGGAUCAUUACCGAGUUUACAACUCCCAAACCCAAUGUGAACGUUACCAAACUGUUGCCUCGGCGGGAUCUCUGCCCCGGGUGCGUCGCAGCCCCGGACCAAGGCGCCCGCCGGAGGACCAACCAAAACUCUUAUUGUAUACCCCCUCGCGGGUUUUUUUAUAAUCUGAGCCUUCUCGGCGCCUCUCGUAGGCGUUUCGAAAAUGAAUCAAAACUUUCAACAACGGAUCUCUUGGUUCUGGCAUCGAUGAAGAACGCAGCGAAAUGCGAUAAGUAAUGUGAAUUGCAGAAUUCAGUGAAUCAUCGAAUCUUUGAACGCACAUUGCGCCCGCCAGUAUUCUGGCGGGCAUGCCUGUCCGAGCGUCAUUUCAACCCUCGAACCCCUCCGGGGGGUCGGCGUUGGGGAUCGGCCCUGCCUUGGCGGUGGCCGUCUCCGAAAUACAGUGGCGGUCUCGCCGCAGCCUCUCCUGCGCAGUAGUUUGCACACUCGCAUCGGGAGCGCGGCGCGUCCACAGCCGUUAAACACCCAACUUCUGAAAUGUUGACCUCGGAUCAGGUAGGAAUACCCGCUGAACUUAAGCAUAUCAAUAA
This 610-nucleotide ribosomal RNA is filed under the name Trichoderma harzianum. RNAcentral describes it as "eukaryotic LSU rRNA". The stretch from base 232 to 385 matches the Rfam family "5.8S ribosomal RNA". Lineage: Eukaryota; Fungi; Ascomycota; Sordariomycetes; Hypocreales; Hypocreaceae. The record is from RNAcentral.